Molecule: long non-coding RNA, 184 nt
Organism: Coccinella septempunctata (seven-spotted ladybird)
Lineage: Eukaryota; Metazoa; Arthropoda; Insecta; Coleoptera; Coccinellidae
Exons: 3
Source: RefSeq, a predicted model, not a curated record
AAACCAUUUCACUCUCAGAACUGGCAAUAUAAUGAGAUGAUGCACCUGUCAGCACCUUCAACAGCAUGACAGAAGUUGGUGGCAAAAGUCUAAACAACAUAAGUUAUAAGUAGCAGCAGUUGACUUGGAUUUCCGUGAUUAUCAGUAUCGAUAUGGUUUUCUUAUAUUCGUGGAGUAACAAACC